Molecule: ribosomal RNA, 506 nt
Filed under: uncultured bacterium
Lineage: Bacteria
Description: partial 16S ribosomal RNA
Rfam family: Bacterial small subunit ribosomal RNA
Source: RNAcentral
AGUGAACGCUGGCGGUAGGCCUAACACAUGCAAGUCGAACGGCAGCACGGGAGAGCUUGCUCUCUGGGUGGCGAGUGGCGGACGGGUGAGGAAUACAUCGGAAUCUACUCUGUCGUGGGGGAUAACGUAGGGAAACUUACGCUAAUACCGCAUACGACCUACGGGUGAAAGCAGGGGACCUUCGGGCCUUGCGCGAUUGAAUUAACCGAUGUCGGAUUAGCUAGUUGGCGGGGUAAAGGCCCACCAAGGCGACGAUCCGUAGCUGGUCUGAGAGGAUGAUCAGCCACACUGGAACUGAGACACGGUCCAGACUCCUACGGGAGGCAGCAGUGGGGAAUAUUGGACAAUGGGCGCAAGCCUGAUCCAGCCAUACCGCGUGGGUGAAGAAGGCCUUCGGGUUGUAAAGCCCUUUUGUUGGGAAAGAAAUCCAGCUGGCUAAUACCCGGUUGGGAUGACGGUACCCAAAGAAUAAGCACCGGCUAACUUUGUGCCAGCCGCCGCAGUAA